CCCGCAAACACUUUCGGAUUCUGAGACAGUCAGAGAGACACACAGAGAACGAGAGCAAUUCUUAAAGACUUGUUUUUAAUUUUGGUUCAUGUAACAUAUUUGAUUAGUAUGGUUUGAUUAGCCUUUUUGUUUCAAUUAAUAAAUGUUUUAUUUUUGCUGCUUAUCAUUCUGCUUUGAGCAGGAAGGCUCUUAAGAUGACAGAUUGUGCUCCAUUCAGAAGUGACUAUGCCCUACUCCCUCCAAAGGCUCCAAAACUCACAGUGCAAACGCCCACCCCUUUGCAAGAUCAAAAUAACAACCAGUUGGAAAACACUAACAAUUUUUCAGAGCUAAAGUCAUGUUUUGUUGUUGCACAAAAACUGUCACCACUAACUAACAACAUAUUAUGCAAAGGAGGACUUCCAGUAAGAUGGCGGACUUAGAAGUCACAAAAUUUCUGUAUUUGAGUAUUGCUUCUGCUUUUACUUAUUAUUUCUAUUUAUUUGUGUAUGCAAUGGACAUGGUAUCUUAGCACAAGGUUAAUUUGUUUUUAAUUAAGUCCAUUAGUGACCUAGAAUGUUGAUAGCCAAUACAAAAAUGGCCGUCGUUCGGGGUGUUCUAACAUCCAUGGUGGAUAAAUAAUGGAAGCAAAAUAAUGUUGGUUUAAUACAUUGUUGACUGUCCAAUGGAUAUAUAUAGACUCAUCCUUCUUUCCAUAGGACCAAACUCACUUGUGGUACCCCGCAAAUUAGUUAUGGAUAGUCACCAUUACGAAUGAUGCAUUUUGUGAUUCAAGUCAGGACUGUAUAUGUUUAAGAUUGUUCCGGGCAUUUGUUCAUGUAUAAGGGUGACAAUGUUCUGUUUACAUUGGUUCUUAGUGCGUGCAUCAUCAAUAACAUAUACAUCCAUCCUUUUUUCAGUACCACUUAUCCUACACAGGGCUGCAGGGAGCCUGGACAGGGUGCCAACCUAUUGCAGGGCACAAUUGCACACACACUCACACACCCAUUCACAUACUACAGACAAUUUAGAGAUGCCAAUGAGCCUACAAUGCAUGACUUUGGACCAGGGGAGGAAACCGGAGUACCAACAGAAAACCCCCACAGGAUGGGGAGGACAUGCAAAUUCCACACACACAUGGUGGAAGUGGGAAUCAAACCCCCAGCCCCAGAGGUGCAAGGCAAAUGUGCUAACCACUAAGCCACUAUGAAAAUGAAAUUGCUUCAGCCAAGCCUUUAGGGCUAUUCCAUCUAUUGAUGAUCAUGCUUUGACCAUUGAGGGAAUUUUUAUUGUGUUUUAGACACUUCCCUAGAAAGACUCAAUUAGUUAGUUAACCCUCCAAAUCUGCCGUAGUUAUACAGGAUAUUUGUGAGCAAUAUGGAUUACAUCCUCCAAGGUAAUCUCUUUUUCAUCUCCAGUACACCAUUCAUAUAGAUUUUUUUUUUUGAUAAAUUGAUUAUUCAAAUUUAACCCCCCAGGAUGUAAAUGAUAAUUUUGCUCAAUAUUUCUCAUCUUUGUACACCUCAGAAUAUUCUAAUACUACUACUCUCCUUGACUCCUUUUUUUGUAAAGCUAAAUUUGCUCACUGUCAGUCUCAGCUCUGAACUUUAUAGUCCUAUUUGUCAACAGGAAGUUAUUGUGGCUAUGCAGAGCGGUAAGGCACCUGGGCCUGAUGGCUUCCCUAUAAAGUUCUACAAGAAGUUCUCAGCUUUGAUGAGUCCACUUAUUGUAGCCAUAUAUAAUGAAGCUUUUGACAAAGGCUCUCUCUCCGACUCUUACACAGGUA
This is a long non-coding RNA of Ictalurus punctatus (channel catfish), 1765 nucleotides long. NCBI's taxonomy places the organism in Eukaryota, Metazoa, Chordata, Actinopteri, Siluriformes, Ictaluridae. The record is from Ensembl.